RNAcentral lists this ribosomal RNA (253 nucleotides) under uncultured bacterium. RNAcentral describes it as "partial 16S ribosomal RNA". It matches the Rfam family "Bacterial small subunit ribosomal RNA", at positions 524 to 776 of the family's 1533-position model. The record is from RNAcentral.
UACGAAGGGGGCUAGCGUUGCUCGGAUUGACUGGGCGUAAAGGGCGCGUAGGCGGUUUGCAUAGUCAGACGUGAAAUUCCUGGGCUUAACCUGGGGGCUGCGUUUGAUACAUGCAGGCUUGAGUUCGGAAGAGGGUCGUGGAAUUCCCAGUGUAGAGGUGAAAUUCGUAGAUAUUAGGAAGAACACCGGUGGCGAAGGCGGCGACCUGGUCCGAUACUGACGCUGAGGCGCGAAAGCGUGGGGAGCAAACAGG